GACGAACCGUACGAACGUUAUUCGGAAUUACUGGGCUUAAAGGGUGCGUAGGCUGCGCGGAAAGUUGGGUGUGAAAUCCCUCGGCUCAACCGAGGAACUGCGCCCAAAACUACCGUGCUCGAGGGAGACAGAGGUGAGCGGAACUUAGGGUGGAGCGGUGAAAUGCGUUGAUAUCCUAAGGAACACCCGUGGCGAAAGCGGCUCACUGGGUCUCUUCUGACGCUGAGGCACGAAAAGCUAGGGUAGCGAAACGGGG
RNAcentral lists this ribosomal RNA (256 nucleotides) under uncultured bacterium. RNAcentral's name for it is "partial 16S ribosomal RNA". It matches the Rfam family "Bacterial small subunit ribosomal RNA", at positions 524 to 778 of the family's 1533-position model. The record is from RNAcentral.